RNAcentral lists this unclassified non-coding RNA (199 nucleotides) under uncultured Russulaceae. RNAcentral describes it as "sequence contains ITS1". The record is from RNAcentral. Lineage: Eukaryota; Fungi; Basidiomycota; Agaricomycetes; Russulales; Russulaceae.
UCGUGCAACGGAGGCGUAAGGGCUGUCGCUGACCUUCAAAGGUCGUGCACGCUCGAGCGCUCUCUCACAUCCAUCUCACCCACCCCCCUUUGUGCAUCACCGCGUGGGCCCCUCUCCGCAAAGAGAGGGUCUGCGUUUUCACAUAAAAACUCUAAUGUCGUGUAUAGAAUGUCUUUUUCGUGGUCACACGCGAUCAAUA